GACAGAGGGUGCAAGCGUUGUUCGGAAUUAUUGGGCGUAAAGGGCGCGUAGGCGGCCAUUCAAGUCAGAUGUGAAAUCCCAGGGCUCAACCCUGGAAGUGCAUCUGAUACUGCUUGGCUUGAGUCCUGGAGAGGGUGGUGGAAUUCCCAGUGUAGAGGUGAAAUUCGUAGAUAUUGGGAGGAACACCGGUGGCGAAGGCGACCACCUGGACAGAGACUGACGCUGAGGCGCGAAAGCGUGGGGAGCGAACAGG
RNAcentral lists this ribosomal RNA (253 nucleotides) under uncultured bacterium. RNAcentral describes it as "partial 16S ribosomal RNA". It matches the Rfam family "Bacterial small subunit ribosomal RNA", at positions 524 to 776 of the family's 1533-position model. The record is from RNAcentral.